GACGGGACCCGCCCGGUUAGGGUCAUUACUCAAAGUAGUGUUGGGUACCCAGACCCAGCCCAUGGCCGGGUUCCAUUCUCUGUUCCUGUUU
RNAcentral lists this transfer RNA (91 nucleotides) under Amborella trichopoda. Its description in RNAcentral is "tRNA AMTR_s00038t00278380". The record is from RNAcentral. Lineage: Eukaryota; Viridiplantae; Streptophyta; Magnoliopsida; Amborellales; Amborellaceae.